This 59-nucleotide transfer RNA is filed under the name Lasioglossum morio. RNAcentral's name for it is "tRNA-Ser". The record is from RNAcentral. Lineage: Eukaryota; Metazoa; Arthropoda; Insecta; Hymenoptera; Halictidae.
GAAAUAUACUUAAUAAGAACUUCUAAUUCUUAAUAAAAUGUUUACUCAUUUAUAUUUCU